ACUCCUACGGGAGGCAGCAGUGGGGAAUAUUGCACAAUGGGGAAGCCCUGAUGCAGCCAUGCCGCGUGUGUGAAGAAGGCCUCGGUUGUAAGCACUUCAGUAGGAGGAAGGUAGUGUAGUUAACACCUGCACUAUUUGACGUUACCUACAGAAGAAGCACCGGCUAACUCCGUGCCAGCAGCCGCGGUAAUACGGAGGGUGCGAGCGUUAAUCGGAAUUACUGGGCGUAAAGCGCAUGCAGGCGGCCUGUUAAGUCAGAUGUGAAAGCCCGGGGGCUUAACCUCGGAAUUGCAUUUGAAACUGGCAGGCUAGAGUCUUGUAGAGGGGGUAGAAUUUCAGGUGUAGCGGUGAAAUGCGUAGAGAUCUGAAGGAAUACCAGUGGCGAAGGCGGCCCCCUGGACAAAGACUGACGCUCAGAUGCGAAAGCUGGGGAGCAAACAGGAUUAGAUACCCUGGUAGGAUA
RNAcentral lists this ribosomal RNA (463 nucleotides) under uncultured bacterium. RNAcentral's name for it is "bacterial SSU rRNA". It matches the Rfam family "Bacterial small subunit ribosomal RNA", at positions 335 to 797 of the family's 1533-position model. The record is from RNAcentral.